CCGUUGUGAACCAGCGGAGGGAUCAUUA
Molecule: ribosomal RNA, 28 nt
Filed under: Ophiostoma floccosum
Lineage: Eukaryota; Fungi; Ascomycota; Sordariomycetes; Ophiostomatales; Ophiostomataceae
Description: partial 18S ribosomal RNA
Source: RNAcentral